Molecule: ribosomal RNA, 820 nt
Filed under: uncultured marine Prymnesiales
Lineage: Eukaryota; Haptophyta; Prymnesiales
Description: SSU rRNA
Rfam family: Eukaryotic small subunit ribosomal RNA
Source: RNAcentral
UGCAUGUCUAAGUAUAAGCGACUAUACUGUGAAACUGCGAAUGGCUCAUUAAAUCAGUUAUGGUUUAUUUGAUGGUACCUAUUACUUGGAUAACCGUAGUAAUUCUAGAGCUAAUACAUGCAGGAAGACCCGACUUCGGAAGGGUUGUAUUUAUUAGAUAAGAAACCAAUCCAGCUUGCUGGUUGCGUGCCGAGUCACAAUAACUGCUCGAAUCGCAUGACUUUACGUCGGCGAUGGUUCAUUCAAAUUUCUGCCCUAUCAGCUUUCGAUGGUAGGAUCGAGGCCUACCAUGGCGUUUACGGGUAACGGAGAAUUAGGGUUCGAUUCCGGAGAGGGAGCCUGAGAAAUGGCUACCACAUCCAAGGAAGGCAGCAGGCGCGUAAAUUGCCCGAAUCCUGACACAGGGAGGUAGUGACAAGAAAUAACGAUACAGGGCUACAUCUAGUCUUGUAAUUGGAAUGAGUACAAUUUACAUCUCUUAACGAUGAUCAAUUGGAGGGCAAGUCUGGUGCCAGCAGCCGCGGUAAUUCCAGCUCCAAUAGCGUAUAUUAAAGUUGUUGCAGUUAGAACGCUCGUAGUCGGAUUUCGGGGCGUUCCGACCGGUCUGCCGAUGGGUAUGCACUGGCCGGAGUGUCCUUUUUGCCGGAGACCGUGCCUACUCUUAACUGAGCGGGGGCGGGAGACGGCACUUUUACUUUGAAAAAAUCAGAGUGUUUCAAGCAGGCAGCUCGCUCUUGCAUGGAUUAGCAUGGGAUAAUGAAAUAGGACUUUGGUGCUAUUUUGUUGGUUUCGAACACCGAAGUAAUGAUGAGAAGGGACA